GACUGGUCCAAAGGUAGUGAGUUAUCUCAGUUGAUUGUUCACAGUCAGUUUCAGAUCAAACUCCUUGUUCUACUCUUUCCCCUCUUCUCACUAUUGCUCUUGACUAGUCUAAA
Unclassified non-coding RNA from Cercocebus atys (sooty mangabey), 113 nucleotides. It matches the Rfam family "Y RNA". From Rfam's summary of the family: Y RNAs are components of the Ro ribonucleoprotein particle (Ro RNP), in association with Ro60 and La proteins. The Y RNAs and Ro60 and La proteins are well conserved, but the function of the Ro RNP is not known. The record is from Ensembl. Lineage: Eukaryota; Metazoa; Chordata; Mammalia; Primates; Cercopithecidae.